AAUGGGGGAAACCCUGACGCAGCAACGCCGCGUGAGUGAUGAAGGCCUUCGGGUUGUAAAGCUCUUUUGACGGGAACGAAAAAAAUGACGGUACCCGUUGAAUAAGCACCGGCUAACUCCGUGCCAGCAGCCGCGGUAAUACGGAGGGUGCAAGCGUUAUUCGGAUUUACUGGGCGUAAAGCGCGUGUAGGCGGUUUGGUAAGUUUGGUGUGAAAUCCCCGGACUUAAUUCGGGAAGUGCAUUGAAUACUGCCAGACUGGAGUACAGGAGAGGAGAGUGGAAUUCCUGGUGUAGAGGUGAAAUUCGUAGAUAUCAGGAGGAACAACAGAAGCGAAGGCGACUCUCUGGACUGUCACUGACGCUAAGGCGCGAAAGCGUGGGGAGCAAA
RNAcentral lists this ribosomal RNA (388 nucleotides) under uncultured bacterium. RNAcentral describes it as "bacterial SSU rRNA". It matches the Rfam family "Bacterial small subunit ribosomal RNA", at positions 370 to 772 of the family's 1533-position model. The record is from RNAcentral.